GACGAACGCUGGCGGCGUGCUUAACACAUGCAAGUCGAACGGUAAGGCCCUUCGGGGUACACGAGUGGCGAACGGGUGAGUAACACGUGGGUGAUCUGCCCUGCACUUCGGGAUAAGCCUGGGAAACUGGGUCUAAUACCGGAUAGGACUCCGGACUGCAUGGUCUGGGGUGGAAAGCUUUUGCGGUGUGGGAUGGGCCCGCGGCCUAUCAGCUUGUUGGUGGGGUGAUGGCCUACCAAGGCGACGACGGGUAGCCGGCCUGAGAGGGUGACCGGCCACACUGGGACUGAGAUACGGCCCAGACUGCUACGGGAGGCAGCAGUGGGGAAUAUUGCACAAUGGGCGCAAGCCUGAUGCAGCGACGCCGCGUGAGGGAUGACGGCCUUCGGGUGUAAACCUCUUUCAGCAUCGACGAAGCGAAAGUGACGGUAGGUGCAGAAGAAGGACCGGCCAACUACGUGCCAGCCGCCGCAGUAA
RNAcentral lists this ribosomal RNA (477 nucleotides) under uncultured bacterium. RNAcentral describes it as "partial 16S ribosomal RNA". It matches the Rfam family "Bacterial small subunit ribosomal RNA", at positions 28 to 523 of the family's 1533-position model. The record is from RNAcentral.